Molecule: unclassified non-coding RNA, 412 nt
Filed under: soil metagenome
Description: partial contains 5.8S ribosomal RNA, internal transcribed spacer 2, and large subunit ribosomal RNA
Rfam family: 5.8S ribosomal RNA (bases 1-122)
Source: RNAcentral
GAUGAAGAACGUAGCGAAAUGCGAUACUUGGUGUGAAUUGCAGAAUCCCGUGAACCAUCGAGUCUUUGAACGCAAGUUGCGCCCGAAGCCGUCAGGCCGAGGGCACGCCUGCCUGGGCGUCACACGCCGUUGCCCCCCCGCGCCCCGCACCCAACGCUUUGGGAGCGACCGCGGGGCGGGCUGAUGAUGGCCUCCCGUGCGCUCCGCCGCGCGGUUGGCCCAAAUACCGAGUCCCCGGCGACGUACGCCACGACGAUCGGUGGUUGAGAGACCUCUGUCGCAAGUCGUGCGCGCCCGUCGCGUCACGCGGGCUCGCAUAGCGCCUCGCGCCGCACCCGGUGCGGAGCUUUCAACGCGACCCCAGGUCAGGCGGGGUUACCCGCUGAAUUUAAGCAUAUCAAUAAGCGGAGGA